RNAcentral lists this ribosomal RNA (253 nucleotides) under uncultured bacterium. RNAcentral describes it as "partial 16S ribosomal RNA". It matches the Rfam family "Bacterial small subunit ribosomal RNA", at positions 524 to 776 of the family's 1533-position model. The record is from RNAcentral.
UACGGGGGGUGCGAGCGUUGUCCGGAAUCACUGGGCGUAAAGGGCGCGUAGGUGGUUUGAUAAGGGUGUGGUGAAAGUCCGGGGCUCAACCCCGGAUCUGCCGUGCCGACUGUCAAACUCGAGGGCUGUAGAGGCAGACGGAAUUCCGGGUGUAGCGGUGGAAUGCGUAGAGAUCCGGAGGAAGACCGGUGGCGAAGGCGGUCUGCUGGGCCGUUGCUGACGCUGAGGCGCGACAGCGUGGGGAGCAAACAGG